Molecule: RNA transcript, 1248 nt
Organism: Lathyrus oleraceus (garden pea)
Lineage: Eukaryota; Viridiplantae; Streptophyta; Magnoliopsida; Fabales; Fabaceae
Gene name: GDSL esterase/lipase CPRD49
Exons: 7
Source: RefSeq, a predicted model, not a curated record
CUCAUACAUCAUCACUCUAUCUUUAUAUCGCUCUCUUUCAGUGUGAGAGAGAAACAGAGAAAAAUGGUAGGACCCUCGAGGCCUCAAAUUGUUCUGUUUGGUUCUUCCAUUGUUCAGCUCAGUUUUCUCAAAGAAGGUUGGGGUGCUAUUCUUUCUCACUUGUAUUCUCGCAAGGCGGAUAUAGUUCUGCGAGGAUACUCUGGUUGGAAUACAAGGCGCGCCGUGCAGGUUCUUGAUACCGUUUUUCCCAAGAAUGCGACCGAGCAACCGUCGUUGAUAAUUGUGUACUUUGGUGGUAAUGAUUCUGUUCUUUCACAUCCUAGUGGCCUUGGUCAACAUGUACCUCUCCAAGAGUACAUUCAAAAUAUGAACAAGAUUGCUAACCAUCUCAAGAGCCUGUCAAAGAAGACUCGCCUUAUAUUUCUCACUGCUCCGCCUUGCAAUGAAGUGCAAAUUUACGGAAACAGUUGUAUAGAGAGACCGCCAAGGAAUAACGAAUCGUGUCGAAUAUAUUCAGAAGCGUGUUUGGAGCUAUGCCGCGAGAUGAAUAUCAAGGCCAUUGAUCUGUGGUCUGCAAUCCAAAAAAGGGAUGGCUGGCGAGAUGAUUGCUUCACAGAUGGAGUUCAUUUGACACAUGAGGGUAGCAAGAUAGUGGUAAAAGAGAUACUUAAUACACUCAAAGAAGCAGAUUGGGAACCUUGCUUGCAUUGGAAGUCACUGCCAAAUGAAUUCGGAGAAGAUUCUCCUUAUGAUCCACUUGGCCCAGAUGAAAAAACUACGAAUGUUGCCAGCUUGACAUUCCUAGAAACUGAGGAGUAUGACUGAUGUCCAUUUGGAGCUAAAGACAUGCCGCAGAUCAUUGAAUCAUUAGGCAACAACCACAAAUAACAGGAAUUUAGAACUCUGCCUAAUUAAAGAAAAAUUGUGUUCUUAAUUCCUAUCCCAGGUUUUUCACCAUAGAUUGUUAAUCGAUGCAAUAAAAUUGCGACUGUUGCGCGCUCACUCAGGGUUGGAUUCGAACCCAAAAAAACAACUUAGUCUAUAAACAUGUUUUACAUACAUAAUAUUUAUUAUACCUGUAUAAGUCUGUCCUCAUUGUCACAGUUUGUUAGGAGCAAUGAGGCCUCAAUUUGUUCUGUUAGGUUCUUCCAUUGUCCAAUUCAAUUACUAAGAAGGUUUGGGAUUCUCGCUUGUAUUCUUGGAAGGUACUCUUUCUUCUUCUAAUUAUUAAAACCGCAACGUUUCAUA